RNAcentral lists this unclassified non-coding RNA (250 nucleotides) under plant metagenome. Its description in RNAcentral is "partial contains small subunit ribosomal RNA, internal transcribed spacer 1, and 5.8S ribosomal RNA". The record is from RNAcentral.
GUAGGUGAACCUGCGGAAGGAUCAUUAGUGAUACUUUGAUGCUGGUACUUGCAAAGGCGUAAAAGCCCGAGUGAUGCUAGUAAAUCAAUUCUACCUUUGUGAACCGUUCCUCUUGAUGGAGGCAUUUGAUUUCCUCUUCCAUUUUUGGAUGGGGAAUGUCAUGCUUCUAACAAGUUUUUUUAUUAUUAUUCAACCUUUUGUAAACUUUUGUUAUACUAUGAAUAAAUCAAAGUGAUUGUACUUGUUGCAU